UUAAGGUUUAAUCUGCUCAAUGAUUAUUUAAAUUGCCGCAGUAUUUUGACUGUGCAAAGGUAGCAUAAUAAUUAGUUUCUUUAUUGGGAACUGGAAUGAAUGAUUGGACGAGAAAAUUUCUGUCUCUUUAUUAUUUUAAUUGAAUUUUACUUUUAAGUUAAAAGGCUUAAAUUUUAUUAGAGGACGAGAAGACCCUAUAGAGUUUAAUUUUUAUUUAAAUAAUUAUUUUUAGUAUUUAUAUAUAUUAUUUAAAUAAAAAUUUAGUUGGGGUGACUAAAAGAUAAGAAUAACUCUUUUAAUUUUAAUCAAUUAUUUUUGAUUAUAAAAUCUUUAUUUUUAAUUUUAAAAUAAAUUACCUUAGGGAUAACAGCGUAAUUCUUUUUUAAAGUUCUUAUUAAAAGAAGAGUUUGCGACCUCGAUGUUGGAUUAAAAUUAAUUUUAGGUGUAGAAGCUUGAAAAUUAAGUCUGUUCGACUUUUAAAAUUUUACAUGAUCUGAGUUUAAACCGGUGUGAGCCAGGUUGGUUUCUA
Molecule: ribosomal RNA, 529 nt
Filed under: Pteroptyx tener
Lineage: Eukaryota; Metazoa; Arthropoda; Insecta; Coleoptera; Lampyridae
Description: partial large subunit ribosomal RNA
Rfam family: Bacterial large subunit ribosomal RNA
Source: RNAcentral